Molecule: ribosomal RNA, 766 nt
Filed under: Staphylococcus aureus
Lineage: Bacteria; Bacillati; Bacillota; Bacilli; Caryophanales; Staphylococcaceae
Description: bacterial SSU rRNA
Rfam family: Bacterial small subunit ribosomal RNA
Source: RNAcentral
GAUGAACGCUGGCGGCGUGCCUAAUACAUGCAAGUCGAGCGAACGGACGGGAAGCUUGCUUCUCUGAUGUUAGCGGCGGACGGGUGAGUAACACGUGGAUAACCUACCCAUAAGACUGGGAUAACUUCGGGAAACCGGAGCUAAUACCGGAUAAUAUUUUGAACCGCAUGGUUCAAAAGUGAAAGACGGUCUUACUGUCACUUAUGGAUGGAUCCGCGCUGCAUUAGCUAGUUGGUAAGGUAACGGCUUACCAAGGCAACGAUGCAUAGCCGACCUGAGAGGGUGAUCGGCCACACUGGAACUGAGACACGGUCCAGACUCCUACGGGAGGCAGCAGUAGGGAAUCUUCCGCAAUGGGCGAAAGCCUGACGGAGCAACGCCGCGUGAGUGAUGAAGGUCUUCGGAUCGUAAAACUCUGUUAUUAGGGAAGAACAUAUGUGUAAGUAACUGUGCACAUCUUGACGGUACCUAAUCAGAAAGCCACGGCUAACUACGUGCCAGCAGCCGCGGUAAUACGUAGGUGGCAAGCGUUAUCCGGAAUUAUUGGGCGUAAAGCGCGCGUAGGCGGUUUUUUAAGUCUGAUGUGAAAGCCCACGGCUCAACCGUGGAGGGUCAUUGGAAACUGGAAAACUUGAGUGCAGAAGAGGAAAGUGGAAUUCCAUGUGUAGCGGUGAAAUGCGCAGAGAUAUGGAGGAACACCAGUGGCGAAGGCGACUUUCUGGUCUGUAACUGACGCUGAUGUGCGAAAGCGUGGGGAUCAAACAGG